UCCCUGGUGGUUUAGAUGGUAAAGAAUUUGCCUGCAAUGCAGGAGACCCAGGUUCAACCCCUGGACUGGGAA
This is a non-coding RNA of Bos taurus (domestic cattle), 72 nucleotides long. The record is from Rfam. Lineage: Eukaryota; Metazoa; Chordata; Mammalia; Artiodactyla; Bovidae.